GAUCAUGGAGGGUGCUUCUUCUUCUUCCCUCGCACGUGCUCUGGCGGUUCUAGCUAUCAUCUGCUGUUCCUUCGCAUGCUCGGCGGCAAAGGGCCCUGGUAAACGCCUCAAUUGUCGUCUCCUACUCUUAUUUUCAUCAUCCCGAGAUACAACUCGGUAGUAAAUAAUAUUGCCAUGCCCGGGCCGUUUGUGUACAUGCAGAUGCUGCAAACGGACACCAUCAGGGGAAUGGUCCUCUGCCGCCCACGGGGUCAGCCGGGCAGAACCCGACGAACUGCUUCCGCUGUGGGGACUGCACGGUCCCUCCGCCACUGCUGCCACCACCGGGGAUGCCGGCACGUGCGCCACACCGAAAGGCACUGCAGCCGGUUGCGAGCGUCGAGCCUUACGCAUGAAGCGCCUCCGUAUAUACAGUAUAUCCUUGUGUAGUUGUGUCUAAACGGUCAAUCCAUAGCCGGUGCCAAAGAUUUGGAUAAAGGAUCAAUCAAUCUACUUAUGUACGUGUUUUUGGGAUUAUUACGCACGCCUGGCUCCGCGUAGUUUCAGUAUAUACUAGCAUGGUGUCCCAUGCAAAUACGCAGACAUCUUAUCAUGCCUCCCGUCCUAAAAUAAGUAUCGCGAUUUUAAUUCAAAUUAAUUUGAACUAAAACCAGCACACUUGUUUUGGGACGAAGGAGUACUAUUUCCUAUUUAUAAUUAUUUUUACGAAUAAGAACUUAUACUUCAUUCA
RNAcentral lists this long non-coding RNA (730 nucleotides) under Triticum aestivum (bread wheat). RNAcentral describes it as "long non-coding RNA (TAES_LNC024983)". Lineage: Eukaryota; Viridiplantae; Streptophyta; Magnoliopsida; Poales; Poaceae. The record is from RNAcentral.